This 380-nucleotide unclassified non-coding RNA is filed under the name uncultured bacterium. RNAcentral's name for it is "contains 16S-23S intergenic spacer region". The record is from RNAcentral.
UCCGGCUUACCACCGGCAGUCUCACUAGAGUGCCCGACAUUACUCGCUGGCAACUAAUGACAAGGGUUGCGCUCGUUGCGGGACUUAACCUAACACCUCACGGCACGAGCUGACGACAGCCAUGCAGCACCUGUGCACGAGUCCCGAAGGAAAGCCGGGGUUUCCCCCAGCGGUCCCGUGCAUGUCAAGCCCAGGUAAGGUUCUUCGCGUUGCUUCGAAUUGAACCACAUGCUCCACCGCUUGUGCGGGCCCCCGUCAAUUCCUUUGAGUUUCAACCUUGCGGUCGUACUCCCCAGGCGGGGUACUUCCUGCGUUAGCGCCGGCACCCAGAGGGUCGCUCCCCCAGGCACCUAGUACCCAUCGUUUACGGCGUGGACUAC